Molecule: ribosomal RNA, 480 nt
Filed under: Salinibacterium sp.
Lineage: Bacteria; Bacillati; Actinomycetota; Actinomycetes; Micrococcales; Microbacteriaceae
Description: bacterial SSU rRNA
Rfam family: Bacterial small subunit ribosomal RNA
Source: RNAcentral
ACGGGUAGCCGGCCUGAGAGGGUGACCGGCCACACUGGGACUGAGACACGGCCCAGACUCCUACGGGAGGCAGCAGUGGGGAAUAUUGCACAAUGGGCGCAAGCCUGAUGCAGCAACGCCGCGUGAGGGAUGACGGCCUUCGGGUUGUAAACCUCUUUUAGUAGGGAAGAAGCGAAAGUGACGGUACCUGCAGAAAAAGCACCGGCUAACUACGUGCCAGCAGCCGCGGUAAUACGUAGGGUGCAAGCGUUGUCCGGAAUUAUUGGGCGUAAAGAGCUCGUAGGCGGUUUGUCGCGUCUGCUGUGAAAACUGGAGGCUCAACCUCCAGCCUGCAGUGGGUACGGGCAGACUAGAGUGCGGUAGGGGAGAUUGGAAUUCCUGGUGUAGCGGUGGAAUGCGCAGAUAUCAGGAGGAACACCGAUGGCGAAGGCAGAUCUCUGGGCCGUAACUGACGCUGAGGAGCGAAAGCGUGGGGAGCGA